Molecule: non-coding RNA, 153 nt
Organism: Canis lupus familiaris (dog)
Lineage: Eukaryota; Metazoa; Chordata; Mammalia; Carnivora; Canidae
Source: Rfam
GCUGCACAUUGUUAAAGCCUGGCAUUGAGGCUGCCGACUGACCCAGGAACUCACAAGCGUAGGUGAAGUGCUCAUGAGGGACAAGUCUUGCACUAAAACCACAAGGGUCUCUAGCCCAAUGAGUGGAGUUUGAUAACAAUUCUUGCUACAAGU